This 594-nucleotide ribosomal RNA is filed under the name Colletotrichum gloeosporioides. RNAcentral's name for it is "eukaryotic LSU rRNA". The stretch from base 231 to 384 matches the Rfam family "5.8S ribosomal RNA". Lineage: Eukaryota; Fungi; Ascomycota; Sordariomycetes; Glomerellales; Glomerellaceae. The record is from RNAcentral.
UAGAGGAAGUAAAAGUCGUAACAAGGUCUCCGUUGGUGAACCAGCGGAGGGAUCAUUACUGAGUUUACGCUCUACAACCCUUUGUGAACAUACCUACAACUGUUGCUUCGGCGGGUAGGGUCUCCGCGACCCUCCCGGCCUCCCGCCUCCGGGCGGGUCGGCGCCCGCCGGAGGAUAACCAAACUCUGAUUUAACGACGUUUCUUCUGAGUGGUACAAGCAAAUAAUCAAAACUUUUAACAACGGAUCUCUUGGUUCUGGCAUCGAUGAAGAACGCAGCGAAAUGCGAUAAGUAAUGUGAAUUGCAGAAUUCAGUGAAUCAUCGAAUCUUUGAACGCACAUUGCGCCCGCCAGCAUUCUGGCGGGCAUGCCUGUUCGAGCGUCAUUUCAACCCUCAAGCUCUGCUUGGUGUUGGGGCCCUACAGCCGAUGUAGGCCCUCAAAGGUAGUGGCGGACCCUCCCGGAGCCUCCUUUGCGUAGUAACUUUACGUCUCGCACUGGGAUCCGGAGGGACUCUUGCCGUAAAACCCCCCAAUUUUCCAAAGGUUGACCUCGGAUCAGGUAGGAAUACCCGCUGAACUUAAGCAUAUCAAUA